CACCAGUCGCUUCCUUCACUCGCUCACUCACCUCUUCCCUCAUGUCACUCUCUCUACCCUUCUCUUUCUAAUCUUAAUUAAAAACCCAAUUUCUUUUUGGCCUUACCAAACUUGAAAUUAUCGCUGUCGACUUGCAUAAGGUUAAAGUUGUAUCUGUCUUCCUUCUUUUUAUUUUUAUCCACUGCUACUGGUCUUUUAAAAUGGUCUCUCCAGAGGUUUCAAAGUCUCAAUAUUCUCCAAUGGCUAAAAGGAAAUCUUGCUUCAGCGAUACCUUUCUUUAUCUCGGUGGCGCUUUACUUUCUUUUUUGAUCAUAUGGUCUCUCUGGUCUUACACCGCUCCUAACAUUAAUCUUUCCGAUUCUAGUUCCUCCAACCUUAGAAAACAAACCUGCGUUCAACAAAACCCAUCCCCUGAUCUCGGGUACGACCCGCCCGAUACAACAUUCUACGACGACCCAGACCUCAGCUAUUCCAUCGAAAAGCCUAUCAAAAACUGGGACGAGAAACGAAAACGAUGGCUAGAGAAACACCCAUCAUUCUCAGCACCUGCACGUGACCGAGUCGUGAUGGUGACGGGAUCCCAAACCAAACCGUGCAAGAACCCAAUAGGCGACCAUUUUCUUUUACGAUUCUUUAAGAACAAAGUCGAUUACUGUAGAAUCCACGGCUACGAUAUUUUCUACAACAACGUUUUACUCCAUCCCAAGAUGCCGAGUUUCUGGGCGAAAUAUCCGGUCGUCAAAGCAGCUAUGAUCGCGCAUCCCGAGGCCGAGUGGAUCUGGUGGGUUGACUCCGACGCUUUAAUCUCCGACAUGGAAUACAAGUUGCCGUUACGCCGUUACGACUACAAGAACCAUAAUCUCGUAGUUCACGGCUGGGCUAAGUUGAUUUACGGGGAGAGAAGCUGGACGGCGUUGAAUGCUGGCGUUUUUUUAAUUAGGAAUUGUCAGUGGUCCAUGGAUUUCAUGGACACGUGGGCUAAUAUGGGUCCCAUGAGUCCCGAUUUUCAGAAGUGGGGCCACAUCCAACGGUCUUUAUUUAAAGACAAGCUAUUCCCAGAUUCGGAUGAUCAGACGGCUCUGAUUUAUAUGCUGUACAAGGAUAAGAGUUUAACGGACAAGAUUUAUUUAGAAGGUGAGUAUUACUUUGAAGGAUAUUGGCUGGAAAUAGUGCCUACGUACGAUAACAUAACUGAAAAAUACACGGAGAUCGAGAGACAGGACGUGAAGUUACGGAGACGGCACGCAGAGAAAGUGAGCGAGCAAUACGGUGCGUUCAGAGAGCCACAUUUAAAGGCAGCUGGGAAUGGUAAAGGGAGCUGGAGACGGCCGUUUAUCACGCAUUUCACGGGCUGUCAACCCUGUAGUGGGGAACACAAUAAGAUGUAUGAAGGGGACGCGUGUUGGGAUGGGAUGGUUAGAGCUCUGAACUUUGCUGAUAAUCAAGUGCUCAGAAAAUAUGGUUUUGUGCAUCCGGAUUUACUGAAUUCUAACACGGUUGUGGAGACACCGUUUGAUUAUCCUGAUGAGGGUCCAUGGUAAACUUUUUACACAGACGGUGAAUGACGAGUAGGUGUGUUGUUUAUUAACUUAUAAAUCAGCUAUGAAGAGCUUCUUUUUAUCUUGCGUGUCGAUUUCUGCAUGGUGGUGAUUCAUGUUAUUGAUUUGCUCCUAUUUUAAGUGAGUGGAUAUAUAUGUUAAAAUUAGGCUGUAUAUAAUAUGCUUAAUCAUGUUAUUAAUUUUUGGCAGAGAGAUUUAAAGUUUUUAUUUGAGUACAUAUUAUUGAAUGAUUUAUAAUUGAGUAGAUGAAUAAAUGAUAUAUAUAUACAUAUAUAAAAGUUUAUAAUUAUUUUAUGUGUGUUAAUUCAGCAGGAUCACUUGGGAAAAAAUCUAAUGGAAAUCAUUAUUUAAUGAACAAGUUGGUUUAUUAAACAUGGGAAUCUCGAGGAGUCUUUUAAGUAUUCGAUGGGGGCUUCAACAAGGGCAUGAUUGAAGGAUAAUGCUCCACAUCUAAGGACUUUAUAUGAUGGAAAGAUGAUGAUGUUGAGAGUUUGUACAUUCAUACGAAGAAGUCACUUGACUAAAUUAUGGCGCUUUUUGCGUUCCUGAUUUGAUAGGGGCCUGUGUAUUUCACACAUAGAAAAUGGCUAAAAUACAUUUCUACUUACUUUUGUUUUUAUUUGGAAACUCUGAGUUUCUCAAUCCCAUCACCAACAUAGCUUGUGUCUGCGUUUAAACUCUCUCAAAGUGAAGGCUUGCCUCACAACAAAGAAAAGUCUAAGAUCAACAAAGAAAGUCGGCAUGGUCUAAGAGUAUUGAACUCAUCACCACCAGGAAAAUAAAACCCGAAUCCUUCAUACUUGAAUUUGGAUUUGGGGUACUUCUCUAAUCCAGGGAUAAUGACCAACUAUGUAAGAUCAGCUUUCAGAUGUGGAUUACAGAGAAAUUAAGGGGUAGAAUAGACCUCCUCCGUCGGUCCGGCCACAUCUGAAUGAAAGAUUAGAGAAGCAUUACAACAAAAUUAACAGUGGAAACAUCUCAAGAGACCAUCUCUGUAAAUAAGCCCACCCCAUGUUGGAGGAAAAACUUUGAUUUAUUUAUUUAACUUUUAAUAUCCAAAUCAACAAUUUUAUAAUCACUAACUAGUGUUCCAGUUCUUUAAUAUAUUCAUCAAUUACAGAGA
Molecule: RNA transcript, 2682 nt
Organism: Ricinus communis (castor bean)
Lineage: Eukaryota; Viridiplantae; Streptophyta; Magnoliopsida; Malpighiales; Euphorbiaceae
Gene name: putative glycosyltransferase 7
Exons: 3
Source: RefSeq, a predicted model, not a curated record